GAUGAACGCUGGCGGCGUGCCUAAUACAUGCAAGUCGAGCGAACAGACGAGGAGCUUGCUCCUCUGACGUUAGCGGCGGACGGGUGAGUAACACGUGGAUAACCUACCUAUAAGACUGGGAUAACUUCGGGAAACCGGAGCUAAUACCGGAUAAUAUAUUGAACCGCAUGGUUCAAUAGUGAAAGACGGUUUUGCUGUCACUUAUAGAUGGAUCCUCGCCGCAUUAGCUAUUUGGUAAGGUAACGGCUUACCAAGGCAACGAUGCGUAGCCGACCUGCGAGGGUGAUCGGCAACACUGGAACGGAGACACGGUCCGGACUCCUACGGGAGGCAGCAGUAGGGAAUCUUCCGCAAUGGGCGAAAGCCUGACGGAGCAACGCCGCGUGAGUGAUGAAGGUCUUCGGAUCGUAAAACUCUGUUAUUAGGGAAGAACAAAUGUGUAAGUAACUAUGCACGUCUUGACGGUACCUAAUCAGAAAGCCACGGCUAACUACGUG
RNAcentral lists this ribosomal RNA (497 nucleotides) under uncultured bacterium. Its description in RNAcentral is "partial 16S ribosomal RNA". It matches the Rfam family "Bacterial small subunit ribosomal RNA", at positions 28 to 507 of the family's 1533-position model. The record is from RNAcentral.